Non-coding RNA from Pelobates cultripes (western spadefoot toad), 235 nucleotides. The record is from the annotation of a GenBank genome assembly. NCBI's taxonomy places the organism in Eukaryota, Metazoa, Chordata, Amphibia, Anura, Pelobatidae.
GAAAAACUAGUAAGGAGAGACAGCAAAUAUUGUUAUAUUGAAAGGAGAAAGGGCAUUUGUCCCUGUGUGAUAAUACCUUUAAACCUCCGUCAGUGGUCCUCCACAAGAUUUAACCCCUUAUUGCUAGUGUAACAUUAAAUUCUGUGUGUCAAGACAGCACCUUCAAUGAGCCCUGCUCUGCAUACAAGGGGUAUGCAUUUGGAAAAAAAGAUCCCCCUGUGUGUCAGUGUAUCUC